ACGCGGACACCCAGGUACUGCAGGCAGAAGAGCGCGGCCAGCGCGCCCCAGAGGGCCGCUGUGAAGAGGCUGCAGCUGAAGUAGAGCAGGAAGCGUAUAAAGCCGUAGAGCCAGCGGGUCUUGACAUACACAUCGAAGUUGUUGUACUUGGUGCGAGCCAGGUGAGAGGUUCUCAGAGGUCCGCAGGCCGCGUGCAGGCAGGUGGUGUGCGGGCCGUGGAAGGAGCGCACCCGCCGCGGGAUGGGCAUGACCGGCAUUGGGCCUGGGCGGCAGUGCUGUUUUGCAGUGGCGGUGCGGGGUCCGGAUGGCUAGCAUAGGUGACAUCAGCGUCUAGGAGCCCUCAGUUGAGCCUUGGAGGAGGUACUGGCCUGCAGAGAGAAAUACAGAGAGUGCCAGGUUACCCCCUCACCUCCCACUGCUCUUGGAGGCACCAAGACCUCCUCUCUGGGGCUGCCUGUACGCAAAAGCAUUACUGGCUGGUCUAGGCUGGACAUAGUGCCAGAGUUCUCCAAACUGGGACACAAAGAGAGGAGAGACGGUGUGUGGGUCCCUGUUUCACCAAGC
Molecule: long non-coding RNA, 564 nt
Filed under: Mus pahari (shrew mouse)
Lineage: Eukaryota; Metazoa; Chordata; Mammalia; Rodentia; Muridae
Description: lncRNA (MGP_PahariEiJ_G0005423.1)
Source: RNAcentral